UCCCUGGUGGCUCAAAGGUUAAAGCGUUUGCCUCCAAUGCAGGAGACCCAGGUUUGAUCCCUGGGUUGGGAA
Molecule: transfer RNA, 72 nt
Filed under: Ovis aries (sheep)
Lineage: Eukaryota; Metazoa; Chordata; Mammalia; Artiodactyla; Bovidae
Rfam family: tRNA
About the family: Transfer RNA (tRNA) molecules are approximately 80 nucleotides in length. Their secondary structure includes four short double-helical elements and three loops (D, anti-codon, and T loops).
Source: Rfam by way of RNAcentral